GAUGAACGCUGGCGGCGUGCCUAAUACAUGCAAGUCGAGCGAACGGACGAGAAGCUUGCUUUUCUGAUGUUAGCGGCGGACGGGUGAGUAACACGUGGAUAACCUACCUAUAAGACUGGGAUAACUUCGGGAAACCGGAGCUAAUACCGGAUAAUAUUUUGAACCGCAUGGUUCAAAAGUGAAAGACGGUCUUGCUGUCACUUAUAGAUGGAUCCGCGCUGCAUUAGCUAGUUGGUAAGGUAACGGCUUACCAAGGCAACGAUGCAUAGCCGACCUGAGAGGGGGAUCGGCCACACGGGAACUGAGAAACGGUCCAGACUACUACGGGAGGCAGCAGUAGGGAAUAUUCCGAAAUGGGCGAAAGCAUGACGGAGCAACGCCGCGUGAGUGAUGAAGGUCUUCGGAUCGUAAAACUCUGUUAUUAGGGAAGAAAAUAUGUGUAAGUAACUGUGCACAGCUUGACGGUACCUAAUCAGAAAGCCACGGCUAACUACGUG
RNAcentral lists this ribosomal RNA (497 nucleotides) under uncultured bacterium. RNAcentral's name for it is "partial 16S ribosomal RNA". It matches the Rfam family "Bacterial small subunit ribosomal RNA", at positions 28 to 507 of the family's 1533-position model. The record is from RNAcentral.